This 489-nucleotide ribosomal RNA is filed under the name uncultured Arcobacter sp. RNAcentral's name for it is "bacterial SSU rRNA". It matches the Rfam family "Bacterial small subunit ribosomal RNA", at positions 897 to 1382 of the family's 1533-position model. The record is from RNAcentral. Lineage: Bacteria; Pseudomonadati; Campylobacterota; Epsilonproteobacteria; Campylobacterales; Arcobacteraceae.
AAACUCAAAGGAAUUGACGGGGACCCGCACAAGCGGUGGAGCAUGUGGUUUAAUUCGACGAUACGCGAAGAACCUUACCUGGCCUUGACAUACUAAAAAGCUUUAAGAGAUUAGAGUGUGCUAGCUUGCUAGAAUUUAGAUACAGGUGCUGCACGGCUGUCGUCAGCUCGUGUCGUGAGAUGUUGGGUUAAGUCCCGCAACGAGCGCAACCCUCGUGUUUAGUUGCUAACAGUUCGGCUGAGAACUCUAAACAGACUGCCUACGCAAGUAGGAGGAAGGUGAGGACGACGUCAAGUCAUCAUGGCCCUUACGGCCAGGGCUACACACGUGCUACAAUGGGGUAUACAAAGAGCAGCGAUACGGUGACGUGGAGCAAAUCUAGAAAAUGCCUCUCAGUUCGGAUUGUAGUCUGCAACUCGACUACAUGAAGUUGGAAUCGCUAGUAAUCGUAGAUCCAGCAAUGCUACGGUGAAUAACGUUCCGGGUCUU